This is a long non-coding RNA of Etheostoma spectabile (orangethroat darter), 172 nucleotides long. RefSeq lists it as uncharacterized. Lineage: Eukaryota; Metazoa; Chordata; Actinopteri; Perciformes; Percidae. The record is from RefSeq and is a predicted model, not a curated record. The transcript has 3 exons.
AUGGUUCCAUUGACAGACCAAAGUGAUCUGUGUGUUUUGUCGUUGUGAGCUGAGCGAUCAUCACACCACGUCCAGUCUGAAAUACCACUUGGUGGCUGAGCACACAGCUGAUGCCAAUUCUCCGUCCCCUCGUCAAAGCCAGGUAACCGUCAAAAUCACAAAGCUAGCCGAU